UACAGAGGUCUCAAGCGUUGUUCGGAUUCAUUGGGCGUAAAGGGUGCGUAGGUGGCGCCGUAAGUCAGGUGUGAAAUUUCGGAGCUUAACUCCGAAACUGCAUUUGAUACUGUCGGACUAGAGUACAGAAGGGGCAACUGGAAUUCUCGGUGUAGCGGUGAAAUGCGUAGAUAUCGAGAGGAACACCUGCGGCGAAGGCGGGUUGCUGGGCUGAUACUGACGCUGAGGCGCGAAAGCCAGGGGAGCGAACGGG
RNAcentral lists this ribosomal RNA (253 nucleotides) under uncultured bacterium. RNAcentral describes it as "partial 16S ribosomal RNA". It matches the Rfam family "Bacterial small subunit ribosomal RNA", at positions 524 to 776 of the family's 1533-position model. The record is from RNAcentral.